Molecule: long non-coding RNA, 280 nt
Filed under: Phasianus colchicus (ring-necked pheasant)
Lineage: Eukaryota; Metazoa; Chordata; Aves; Galliformes; Phasianidae
Description: lncRNA (ENSPCLG00000012270.1)
Source: RNAcentral
CUGUUCUGCUGGCAUCCACAUCUGUGGAUAACUCUAGGGGAGCAGUCCUACUGAACAUAUACAGAAAAAUGUUUGAGAUCCUCAUGCAGUGGUGCAAAACAUAUAACAGAGAUUUUCAAAAGGCCACCACCAAAAACCACUGCUUCAGUAGCAGUUCUGAGGAGCAUUCACAGAAAAACAGAAGAACUUGAAACACAGCUACCAACUGCUGCUAUGGUAACAACCCGGACAGUGAGGCCUUAAAAAUAAACACAAUUAUUGCAGAAGAUGGAUUCUUCUU